RNAcentral lists this unclassified non-coding RNA (428 nucleotides) under Hevea brasiliensis (rubber tree). The record is from RNAcentral. Lineage: Eukaryota; Viridiplantae; Streptophyta; Magnoliopsida; Malpighiales; Euphorbiaceae.
CUUCACCAGCAGCAGUCAUCUCCAAGGAGGAAGUCGCCGCCGAUCGUGAAAAUGCCGUCCCACAAGUCUUUCAUGAUCAAGAAGAAGCUGGCGAAGAAGCAGAGGCAGAACAGGCCUAUUCCUUACUGGAUCCGCAUGAGGACCGACAACACCAUCAGGUACAACGCGAAGCGCAGGCACUGGAGGCGUACCAAGUUAGGAUUUUGAGGUGGAUGGCUUGGAGUUCUCUUCAAGGUUCCAUUGAAAAAUUUAUGGUUUUUUUGGUUACUUACCGUCUUGUUUAGUAGGAGCUUAUUUCUGAAACGAAAUCUAGUAGAGUUGAUUUCUACAGAUGUUUUCGUGAAAUAUUUUGGAGCUGAUUUUAUGUAUUGAAUGAAUAUUUUUGGAUCUACUAUCUUUGAUUGAUGCAUUUUUAGAAUUGGAAUUGG